GAUGAACGCUGGCGGCGUGCUUAACACAUGCAAGUCGAACGGUGAAGGCGGAGCUUGCUCUGCUGGAUCAGUGGCGAACGGGUGAGUAACACGUGAGCAAUCUGCCCCUGACUCUGGGAUAAGCGCUGGAAACGGCGUCUAAUACUGGAUACGAGCUGCGAAGGCAUCUUCAGCAGCUGGAAAGAACUUCGGUCAGGGAUGAGCUCGCGGCCUAUCAGCUUGUUGGUGAGGUAACGGCUCACCAAGGCGUCGACGGGUAGCCGGCCUGAGAGGGUGACCGGCCACACUGGGACUGAGACACGGCCCAGACUCCUACGGGAGGCAGCAGUGGGGAAUAUUGCACAAUGGGCGAAAGCCUGAUGCAGCAACGCCGCGUGAGGGACAACGGCCUUCGGGUUGUAAACCUCUUUUAGCAGGGAAGAAGCGAAAGUGACGGUACCUGCAGAAAAAGCGCCGGCUAACUACGUG
RNAcentral lists this ribosomal RNA (468 nucleotides) under uncultured bacterium. RNAcentral's name for it is "partial 16S ribosomal RNA". It matches the Rfam family "Bacterial small subunit ribosomal RNA", at positions 28 to 507 of the family's 1533-position model. The record is from RNAcentral.